GGAGGACUAUAAGAAGGAGGCGAGCCAGUACUUCGACACCUGAGUGUUUUGCCUCUUCGUGGUUGAUCAAGCCUCGUUCAUGAGAGAUAUCAGAAGGAACUUACCAACAGUUUUUAAGGACUCUGGAUUCUUGUUUUGUUCCGCUGGCAGCCAGAUCUGACGUUGUCCUCACAGCUUCAAGCGAACCCUGUCCACCCUCCACCACAACUCUCAGGACUCACCUGCUACGGCAGUGUCGCAUAGCCCGCCGCUCAUCAGGAUAACAACCUCUCUCCCUGGCGGACUUAACCCUACCCAAUUCUCUCUGCUACUUCUGUUUCCAGCACCUGAGCCUGAAAAUAAAGAUUUCUUAA
This is a long non-coding RNA of Girardinichthys multiradiatus, 353 nucleotides long. RefSeq lists it as uncharacterized. The transcript is spliced from 3 exons. The record is from RefSeq and is a predicted model, not a curated record. NCBI's taxonomy places the organism in Eukaryota, Metazoa, Chordata, Actinopteri, Cyprinodontiformes, Goodeidae.